UUUAUUUUAGAUUUUUAGCUAAUUUACCAAUGUGUUCUGAUUGCAACUUAACUUACUAGUUAGUAUUUUAAUGUAAUUUUAAAAUUUCAUUAAUCAAUAAAAUUUCUCAGCCUUAAGGCACAAAAGAUCGAGUGUUCGUUUUUGCAUUACUAGCAGAAUUCAAAUCUCUGAUUCUUCUCUUACCUGUAUAAACGUUGAUAGGUGCUGCCAUCAGCAAUAUGCACUCCAAGGAUCAGCUUUUCAACUUAUAAUGUUUUUUCAAUUUUAGUUUUUUUUCUAACUAGGUGCACAGGCGCUUGAAGCUCACACUAGACUUAAUCAAGAAAGAAAUUGAGAUCAAUAAAAUACAGGAAUCAAUUGCUAAAGCUAUUGAGGAAAAAAUAUCUGGUGAGCAGAGACGCUAUCAUCUGAAUGAGCAACUAAAAGCAAUUAAGAAGGGAAAAGAGCCAAAAGAGGUUUUGGCUUAUCAAUGGGAUGCUGGGGAAACAACUUGUUUUAAACUUGUCUUGUUGAUGUAAU
Dendrobium catenatum is the source of this 519-nucleotide long non-coding RNA. RefSeq lists it as uncharacterized. The transcript has 3 exons. The record is from RefSeq and is a predicted model, not a curated record. Lineage: Eukaryota; Viridiplantae; Streptophyta; Magnoliopsida; Asparagales; Orchidaceae.